This is a non-coding RNA of Podarcis lilfordi (Lilford's wall lizard), 86 nucleotides long. NCBI's taxonomy places the organism in Eukaryota, Metazoa, Chordata, Lepidosauria, Squamata, Lacertidae. The record is from the annotation of a GenBank genome assembly.
AGCUGUUGUGGGACUACAACUCCCAUCACCCCUGACCACUGCUCCUGCUAGCUAGGGAUGAUGGGAGUUGUAGUACCACAACAGCU